AUAUUUUAUACAUGGCUAAUAGCAACAUAUUAGCAAAACCGGGAAUACGACAGAUUUGUACUGUGUGUUUAAUAAGUAAAUUUGUUUUGGAGCAAAUUGCAAUUUAACAAAUUUGGGCCGAUUAAUUCCUGCAUUUCGAGCUAAAAUGUACCCAAAAUAUGCGCCACGCAAAACGCUCAGUGCCAAGUAUGUUCAGGUCGGCAUCAUGUUUCUGAACUCCACCUGUGAUGUCCAAAAAAAGAGAUGAUUGGUAAGAAAACAUGUUGACUGAUAACUAUGGGACAGUCAAUAAAUAUUGAUUUAUUUUACAGACCAAGUGAGAAGUGAG
Pelobates cultripes (western spadefoot toad) is the source of this 328-nucleotide non-coding RNA. NCBI's taxonomy places the organism in Eukaryota, Metazoa, Chordata, Amphibia, Anura, Pelobatidae. The record is from the annotation of a GenBank genome assembly.